ACGAAGUGUGCUAGUUACUGCACACUGCGUGUUGUUUGAAAACUUCCUCUGUGAUUGUUGAUCACACUAUAAGAUCGCUGCCUUUCAAUGAUUCAGCAGGAGUGAGUAGUAUGAUGCUAGAUUUUGUUACCGGAAGGAUUUUUUUUCGUAUAGAUCAAGUUUAUGUCUCAUGUCAAUCUACACAGUGCUUCAUUAGUUUCUGUAGUUCCACAUAAACAUGGAAAUCUGCAGGUUCAUUUUCUUCCUCCUUCUCUAUCAUGUUUAUAUUCUUCUUCAUAAAUCAAUUUACAGUUUUGCUUAUUUUGUGGGAAAUAUUGGUAUAAUCAGCACUUGUAUAAGCACCAAAUGUAAAUCAGCUGAAAUUAUGAAUUGUUGUUUUUGGGGGCUUUUAGAUGAUUAUGCUUGAUAGAUAAAAAUAGUAAGAUUAUAAUCACUUGUUUACUUUGAUGGAUUGAAACUUUGGGAUAUCCCAAGCACUUCAUUAUGUCUAUCAUUUAAGCUAAUUUUGCUUGAUUUUUAUUGUGGGAUCGGAGAAAUCCUACUUUUGAGGAUAAAAUACUCAGUAAUGCAUCUUAUCAAUCAUGCAAAGUAAAUGCUCCCAUGAUAUACAAAUAAAGAGAAUGUUACUUCUUUCUUGAAGUUUAGUGUUUACUUUUCUUUGGACAUAAAGCUGUGAUUUUUUUUAGACCUUUAUUCACAAUUCCAUUAUCUUGUAAGCAGGUUAUUGGGGUGAAAAAAAGGCAAGUUUCAAUAGGUUCUGGCUCGAAAUCGAGGGAUAAGAUAGUGAUAGUGGAGGAGGUGACUUUGCAGACUGUAUUUGACUCUCUAAAUAGAGCUCUAAUGAGCCAGUGAUGUACUUUGCAAAUAGGUUUGUAUUAUAUAAGAGGCACAGUUCAACAAUUCAUUGCAAUUCCUCAUAUUCUGCCUAUGAAACUUCUUUAACCUCCACAAACGGUGAAAUGCAAGUAACACAUGUACCACACGUUACUUGGACAUAAGUACUAACACUCACCACCCAACCCCUCAAGAAACAAACAAGAGUCUACAACUCCUUUACAAUUUACGCUCAAUAGUGUUUACCUCACAACACUCUAGUGCUAGAACUCGUACUGAAACUAGUACUAGGAAGAAUGAUACUUGUAACAUGUCUGAGGGACACCUAGCAGGAACAAAAGACGCUCGACACUACAUUGUGCAAGAUUAAUUAAUUCAAUUCAGCACGAACUCCUCUCAC
Molecule: long non-coding RNA, 1234 nt
Filed under: Salvia miltiorrhiza (redroot sage)
Lineage: Eukaryota; Viridiplantae; Streptophyta; Magnoliopsida; Lamiales; Lamiaceae
Description: long non-coding RNA (SMIL_LNC000492)
Source: RNAcentral